This 494-nucleotide ribosomal RNA is filed under the name uncultured bacterium. Its description in RNAcentral is "partial 16S ribosomal RNA". It matches the Rfam family "Bacterial small subunit ribosomal RNA", at positions 28 to 507 of the family's 1533-position model. The record is from RNAcentral.
GACGAACGCUGGCGGCGCGCUUAACACAUGCAAGUCGAACGGAAAGGCCUGCUUUCCCUUGUGGAUUGCGGGUACUCGAGUGGCGAACGGGUGAGUAACACGUGAGUGAUCUGCCCCCAACUUGGGUAUAAGCCUGGGAAACUGGGUCUAAUUCCCGAUAGGACUGCAGGGUGGUGCCUGUGGUGGAAAACGAUUUUCUAGUGGUUGGGGAUGAGCUCGCGGCCUAUCAGCUUGUUGGUGGGGUAAUGGCCUACCAAGGCGGCGACGGGUAGCCGGCCUGAGAGGGUGGACGGCCACAUUGGGACUGAGAUACGGCCCAGACUCCGACGGGAGGCAGCAGUGGGGAAUAUUGCACAAUGGGCGGAAGCCUGCUGCAGCGACGCCGCGUGGGGGAUGACGGCCUUCGGGUUGUAAACUCCUUUCGACCGCGAGGAAGCCACCUGGUUGGAAGGGUGGUGACGGUAGUGGUAGAAGAAGCACCGGCUAACUACGUG